GAUGAACGCUGGCGGCGUGCCUAAUACAUGCAAGUCGAACGCACAGCGAAAGGUGCUUGCAUCUUUCAAGUGAGUGGCGAACGGGUGAGUAACACGUGGAUAACCUACCUCAAGGUUGGGGAUAACAUUUGGAAACAGAUGCUAAUACCGAAUAAAACUUCGUAUCGCAUGAUACAAGGUUAAAGGCGCUACGGCGUCACCUAGAGAUGGAUCCGCGGUGCAUUAGUUAGUUGGUGAGGUAAGGCUACCAAGACAAUGAUGCAUAGCCGAGUUGAGAGACUGAUCGGCCACAUUGGGACUGAGACACGGCCCAAACUCCUACGGGAGCUGCAGUAGGGAAUCUUCCACAAUGGGCAAAGCCUGAUGGAGCAACGCCGCGUGUGU
RNAcentral lists this ribosomal RNA (384 nucleotides) under uncultured bacterium. RNAcentral describes it as "bacterial SSU rRNA". It matches the Rfam family "Bacterial small subunit ribosomal RNA", at positions 28 to 406 of the family's 1533-position model. The record is from RNAcentral.